AAAUGAUAAAAGAAAAGGUUGAGUGAUGCCAAGGUAAAAUUUAAAUUAAGAAGUAUGUUGUAAUAUGUUAAUUUAAGGUAGGGACUAGAUUGUGAAGAUGUGAAAAUUUUUAGACACAAAUAAAAUUAUUCAAAAUUUGAGGGGUUGAAAUGUAGAUAUGAAAAAAGUUGAAGGACCAAAAGUGAAAUUAAACCAAUUUCUUGUGAUAGGAAAUUGGUAAGCAGGGACCAAAUUGAAUCAAAGAAAAAAUCUGAGGGGCUACAUUUUAAUUUUUCCAAAAAAAAGAAUGGCCUAAAUGUAAAAUUUAAAAGGUUCAAGGGUAAAAUAGUCAUUUUCAAAAAU
This 342-nucleotide long non-coding RNA is filed under the name Gossypium barbadense (sea-island cotton). RNAcentral describes it as "long non-coding RNA (GBAR_LNC019032)". Lineage: Eukaryota; Viridiplantae; Streptophyta; Magnoliopsida; Malvales; Malvaceae. The record is from RNAcentral.